This 494-nucleotide ribosomal RNA is filed under the name uncultured bacterium. Its description in RNAcentral is "bacterial SSU rRNA". It matches the Rfam family "Bacterial small subunit ribosomal RNA", at positions 28 to 517 of the family's 1533-position model. The record is from RNAcentral.
GAUGAACGCUAGCGGCAGGCUUAACACAUGCAAGUCGAGGGGCAACACGGGUAGCAAUACCUGGUGGCGACCGGCGCAAGGGUGCGUAACGCGUGAGCAACAUGCCCUAUACAGGGGGAUAAUCCAGGGAAACUUGGUCUAAUAUCCCAUAGUAUUUAGAGGUGGCAUCACCACUAAAUUAAAGCUUCGGUGGUAUAGGAUUGGCUCGCGUGACAUUAGCUGGAUGGUGGGGUAACGGCUCACCAUGGCGAUGAUGUCUAGGGGUUCUGAGAGGAAGACCCCCCACACUGGUACUGAGACACGGACCAGACUCCUACGGGAGGCAGCAGUGAGGAAUAUUGGUCAAUGGGCGCAAGCCUGAACCAGCCAUCCCGCGUGAAGGAAGAAUGCGCUACGCGUUGUAAACUUCUUUUCCAGGGGGAGAAUAAUCCUGUCGUGACAGGACUUGACGGUACUCUGGGAAUAAGCAUCGGCUAACUCCGUGCCAGCAGCCG